GGAGGAGGGGCUUACUAUUACGGAAAAGGUUUAUUUGGUUACAUGCUACAAAGACAUUCAUCAUACGAAGGUUAUUGAAUGUAUGAAAGUUUUACCUAAUCUGUAUGUGUAUGUUAGGUUUAUUUACUUUUGAUUUUGGACAGGGUUUAUUUACCUUGUUCGUUUUACGGAUGUAGUUUAUUUACUUUGGAAGUUGGAUCUAUGAUAUUUUAAGUUUUUAAUAGUUGAAUGAUCUAGCUAAAUGGUCUAACGUAUUGGUAUCAUGCACUAAUGCGCAUAUGCGAAUAUGGGAUCAUGGCAUAUGCGAUUUGACACAAAUGUGAAUCGCAUAUGUUGCAUAUGCGAUGAAAUAAUCGAGGAAUUACAAGUGACUCAGACACCUAAGUCCUCUCAUAGUAGCAAUGCUCAAAACAACAUUUUAUCCCGGCCAUCGGGACCAGAGCAUCCCAAUCAAGUCUGCAUGAUGGGAUUAGCUCCCACAUCUUCCAUAUUAUGGGGUGCGAGAGGCACUGUUGCCUAAUCACAGAGGAAGACUCCAGAGUUACAGCGACAAAUGAACGAGCGGGUGGAGCAACUGGUGGAGCAAACGGUUGAGCGGCUAGUGCAGCAGAUGAAUGAGCGGGUGGAGCAACUGGUGGAGCAAAUGGUUGAGCUGCUAGUGCAGUGGAUGAAUGAGCUAAUGACGAUGUGGAUGAGAGACAUUGUGACCUUAUUGGCAGCGAGCAAUGUCCUCAAUGUGGAGACUAUUCAACAUGAAUCUGCAGCUACAUUUGUACAAGCCGCCUCAGUAUCUAGUCAUGAGGAGACACUCGAGGCUGAGGGACCCCAAUAGAAAGAGGGAGAAUAAUCAAUAGGUGGUUUACAUCUUAUUUUCUUUUCACAAUUGUAUAGUCCGGGAGUAAAUGUCACGGUGGUCACAUGGUCAUGGAGGGACAAGCUUGAAUAAUCCCAUUUCAACAGAUAAGCAUCUACAAAUCAAAGGUUAGGAUGGUUCCAUGCAUUUA
Magnolia sinica is the source of this 1004-nucleotide long non-coding RNA. RefSeq lists it as uncharacterized. NCBI's taxonomy places the organism in Eukaryota, Viridiplantae, Streptophyta, Magnoliopsida, Magnoliales, Magnoliaceae. The record is from RefSeq and is a predicted model, not a curated record. The transcript is spliced from 2 exons.